GACGGCUUCCUGGGGGAGGUGACACCUGAGCCAAGCCCCAGCAGAGAACUGUGGGGCCAGAGGUUCUUAGGCAAGGAGAACUUUAGCCUGAAGCCUCAGGGCCCUUCUAAACCCCAGAACUGGUAUUUUGGACCUUGAAGUACCCUUGGGAGAGGGCUUGGACUCCUGGGUCCUAAUUAUAGGGACCUUUGAGGCUGGAAGCAGUGAAUCCUCAGAGACCCUUCCAGCUCAAGGAGGAGCUAACAGCCAAAGAGAAUAUGUGUGUCCAAGGGACAAAGGUGAAGUUCUCUGCUCUGGCUGUAGGCAGAGCCCCAGAUCCUUUUGUCUUGGAGUCUCCUCUCCUUGGGUCUCCUUAGACCUGCUCUUCCUCAUCUUUAUAUUCUCCCUGGGGAUCGCCGUCCACCCCUUGGCUUGUAACCACCUCCAGUCUCAAGUCAUUCAUUUACCAAGUUACCACUUAUUGAGCACGUACUGUGCCAGGCUCCAUGCCAGGUCCUGGGAAGACCAUCGCCUUGUGGUCUAGGAGGGGAGACAGAUGAAACGCACACUGUGACAAGUGUGAUGCUGCAAUGGGGACUUGGUGACAGUCUCGGUAAAGCUGGAUCUUCUGCCUUAUUUCCACCCUCAGCACUUCCCUAGGCCCUCACUUAUCACUAUUGCAAAUAGGUCUUUGUUGCUUGUUUAUUUUUGAAACACAAGCAAGCUCCUGGGAGCCUGUUUGCCAGAUGACACAUUUGUUUUGCAGACCAUUAUGUGUCCUGUGUCUAGGAGGCUGUCUAGCACAUGGUAAGCACUCCAUCAAUAUUAAUGAGGAAUUCCCAUUGUGGCUCAGUGGGUUAAGAACCUGACAUAGUGUCCAAGAGGUUAUGGGUUCGAUCCCUGACCUCGCUCAGUGGGUUAAGGAUCCCGCAUUGCUGUGAGCUAUGGCGUAGGUCCCAGUCAUAGCUUGGAUUCAGCGUUGAUGUGGUUGUGGCGCAGGCUGAUAGCUACGGCUCCAAUUGGACUCCUAGCCUGGGAACCUCCACAUGCUGCAGGGCUGUAAAAAGAUAAAAGGGGACAAAAGUUUGCUAAUGAAGGAAAGAAUGAGGAGGGAAGGGAAGGAGGGAAGGUGAGAAGGAAAAAAAUAAAGGACUGAAGCUGGAGAAGGUGGGGGGUGGGAGGGUACUUGAACCAGACAGUCGGAGAAGGCCUCUGACACUGUGUAAUGUCUAUGUUGAAACUUUGAAGGUUGAGGAAAGAGCCAGGCAAGCAAAGAGCUGAGGACAGCAUCUAGGUAGGGGCAAUAGCAAGUGCAAAGGCCAGGGGGUAGGAAAGAGCUUGGCGUAUUGGAAGAAAAGAAGGAAGGCCAGCGGCUGAUGAGCGCCAGCAAGGGAGAGAGAAGUAGGAACGGAGGUCAAAGAGGAAGCAGGUGCCACAGCACGAAGGGCUUUGCAGGUCACAAGGAUCGGUGCCUGCAACCCCAGUGUAUCUUCUGCUACUUGCCCCCUGGAUUUCUCUCAGGCACUUCAAAUACAUCACCCUCUGAAGCAGAUGCUGUGCGUGCCCGUAUCCCCCUGGUCCACCCGAGAAGUCUUCUCUAGAUGGUUCCCAGAUGCUCAGUCUCCCCAGCUGCUCCCUAUGCUUCUUUCGGAGGGUGCUCUCUGGGAGGGUGGGGGGCUCCCAUGCCCAGCAGGCCUGGGGUGGGGGGUGGAGAGGUUCUGUACCCUCUAACCAGUUAGAGAUCCUUGGGGGUCAAUUCUUAGGUGAGUUUUCAGUGUCUCAGAGGGUCCCACUGGGAUUGCUCCUUGGUAAACUUUUUUUGGGGUCUUUUUAGGGUCACACCCAUGGCAUAUGGAGGUUCCCAGGCUAGGGGUCAAAUCAGAGCUGCAGCUGCCAGCCUACACCACAGUCACAGCAAUGCCAAAUCUAAGCUGUGUCUGAGACCUACACCACAGGUCACGGUCAUGCUGGAUCCUGAACCCACUGAGUGAAGCCAAGUAUGGGACCCACAUCCUCGUGAAUACUAGUUGGGUUCAUAACCCAAUAAGCCACAGUGGGAACUCCCAGCGUUUGCGCUUUUUUUUUUGUCUUUUUGCCUUUUCUAGGGCUGCUCCCAGGGCAUAUGGAUGUUCCCAGACUAGGGGUCAAAUCGGAGUUCUAGCCGCUGGCCUACACCACAGCCACAGCAACGCGGGAUCCGAGCCGCGUCUGCAACCUACACCACAGCUCACGGCAACGCCGGAUCCUUAAGCCACUGAGCAAGGCCAGGGAUCGAACUUGCAAUCUCCUGGUUCUUAGUCAGAUUCAUUAACCACUGUGCCACGACGGGAACUUCUCCCAGCCAUUCUUUAAACAUAACUUGCCAUGAACAUAACUCCCCUUAAAUAUUGUUCUCUCUUCCCCAUCUCCAGCAGGAAGCCAGCUACCAUAAUCAGACAUCCAAGUCCAGUCAGUUCAUCUAGAAAGGCAGAGGUGCAGAUAUUUAUCAACCUCCUCCCUCUUGUAUCCAGCCCUGUGCUGAGCGAUGCCACUCCAGGGAUGAAUCAGAUCAUUUCCUGCUCUUGGGGGAGAUCCUCUGGUCUUUUGUGGGGACAGAACUGGACCCGGACAAGGACCACACAAUAUGCUCAGAACUGCAUCAGAGGAGUUCCCAUUGUGGCUCAGCAGAAACCAACCCAACUAAUAUCCAUGUGGACGAGGGUUUGAUCCCUGGCCUCACUCAGUGUGUUAAGGAUCCGGCAUUGCUGUAAGUUGUGUGGGUUGGAGACGCAGAUUGGAUCCCACGUUGCUGUAGCUGUGACGUAGGUCAGCAGCUGAAGCUCUGAUUCAACCCCUAGCCUGAGAACUUCCACAUGUCUCAAGUUCGG
RNAcentral lists this long non-coding RNA (2846 nucleotides) under Sus scrofa (pig). Its description in RNAcentral is "lncRNA (ENSSSCG00005027424.1)". The record is from RNAcentral. Lineage: Eukaryota; Metazoa; Chordata; Mammalia; Artiodactyla; Suidae.